GAUGAACGCUGGCGGCGUGCCUAAUACAUGCAAGUCGAGCGAACAGACGAGGAGCUUGCUCCUUUGACGUUAGCGGCGGACGGGUGAGUAACACGUAGGUAACCUACCUAUAAGACUGGGAUAACUUCGGGAAACCGGAGCUAAUACCGGAUAAUAUUUUGAACCGCAUGGUUCGAUAGUGAAAGACGGCUUUGCUAUCACUUAUAGAUGGACCUGCGCCGCAUUAGCUAGUUGGUAAGGUAACGGCUUACCAAGGCAACGAUACGUAGCCGACCUGAGAGGGUGAUCGGCCACACUGGAACUGAGACACGGUCCAGACUCCUACGGGAGGCAGCAGUAGGGAAUCUUCCGCAAUGGGCGAAAGCCUGACGGAGCAACGCCGCGUGAGUGAUGAAGGUCUUCGGAUCGUAAAACUCUGUUAUUAGGGAAGAACAAACGUGUAAGUAACUGUGCACGUCUUGACGGUACCUAAUCAGAAAGCCACGGCUAACUACGUG
This 497-nucleotide ribosomal RNA is filed under the name uncultured bacterium. Its description in RNAcentral is "partial 16S ribosomal RNA". It matches the Rfam family "Bacterial small subunit ribosomal RNA", at positions 28 to 507 of the family's 1533-position model. The record is from RNAcentral.